AGGCAUUUCAGAAUGAGCGACUGAACCAUUUGUUUGACACAAAUAUUCAGCUUAAUUCACAACUGGACCAAACAAUUGUUCCUCGAGAGCAUACAUGUCAUGGAUUUCCAAGACUGGGUGUUUCUUAUGUUGAGGGGAGUAUCGUGGAACAGAAUGUAGAUGUGAUAGUGAAUUCAACCAAUACUACACUGAAUUUGACAGAAGGAGAUACAAGCCAAGCAAUACUUUCUGCAGCUGGACCAGACAUCGUAAAGGAAUGUCAAAGAUAUGCAAAUAGGAUCAACGACUGGGGCAUUGCUGUCACUAGUGGAGGCAAAAUAAACUGCAAGAAGAUCUAUCAUACAAGUCUUGUGAAAGCCCCAUGGUUUUCCAUUCAACAGGUUAUUUAAAAUACAGCAUUUCCUUACUUCUGU
Gigantopelta aegis is the source of this 413-nucleotide long non-coding RNA. RefSeq lists it as uncharacterized. The record is from RefSeq and is a predicted model, not a curated record. Lineage: Eukaryota; Metazoa; Mollusca; Gastropoda; Neomphalida; Peltospiridae. The transcript is spliced from 3 exons.